RNAcentral lists this non-coding RNA (46 nucleotides) under Schistosoma haematobium. Lineage: Eukaryota; Metazoa; Platyhelminthes; Trematoda; Strigeidida; Schistosomatidae. The record is from RNAcentral.
GCACUACUGAGGAGUCCCAUACUAGGACGAAACGGCCUUCUAGUGC